Molecule: long non-coding RNA, 3151 nt
Organism: Pipistrellus kuhlii (Kuhl's pipistrelle)
Lineage: Eukaryota; Metazoa; Chordata; Mammalia; Chiroptera; Vespertilionidae
Exons: 2
Source: RefSeq, a predicted model, not a curated record
UUUGAAAAGUAGAAUAGUACUCAAAGGGGCACUGAAAGUGAUGGUUAGGAGCACAACUUUGGAGUCAAAUGGCCAGAAAGUGAUCACUAAUAUGCCCAUUUUAUAGAUGGUCAUAUUAGUGAUCCAUAAAGGCUUUUGUGACGGUUAAAUUAAUAAAAAGUUUAGUAUGAAGCCUUGUAAGUUGGUAAAUAUUAGCUGCCCUUAUUACUGCCAUUACUAUGGUGGUUUAUAUCAUUUAACAUUGUUGACCGAGUGAGGUACAGUGUAGGCACUGGGUUUACUGAGCUGAAUGUUUCAGUGGAUGGGCAUCCUUGAAUGGAAGGAAUGUAGCAUUUCUAUUGAUAAACCAUAGUGAGCUACUAUUGUGAAGGUACCUCUUACUCAGAUGUGAUAUUCAUUCUGGCUGGAAAAGUGGAUUUCUGGCUGUUUAGUUAUCUACCAAACCAUCCCAAAACAUGGUGGCUUAAACCAACAGCAUUUUAUUAUUUCUUACAGUUCAGGGUGUAGCCUGGGUGAGAUCUGAGGAGGUACGAAGGUUCAAAUUGGCUUCACUGCCAUGGCUAUGGGCCAGAGGUUUGCUGGGGCUGUUGCCCAGGUCCUCAGUCCUCCAGUUGCCUUUUCCACUUAGCUGGGUGAGCUUCUCAAAGCAUGGUGGCUGCAGGCAAUUGGCGCUCUUUCCUGCCGGCUAGCUUCCUUCAGUCUUUUUUGUAUACAAUAGCCAUAUAAAAAGGAAGUCAGAGAUUACAUAGGAAAAAUUAUUAUGAUUUUACUUUGGUCCUAUUUCAACAAAUAUUGGGUUUUAGAGACAUGUAAUAAAAAUGGCUUUAAAUACUCUUUAGCAAGCAGCUGAAGAUUUGCCCCAGUUAGGAAGGAAACUACCAUUAUGGCUCUGAACAUACCCUGGCCUUGAGUAGGGUAAUUCUGGGAGCCUCCUGGGGCUUCCUGUUUGGGCAGGAGUUUGGGUUGUGGGGUGCUGUACCUUAUGAACUAACAAUGUAAUUGCUUUAAUAGCCAUAAAAUGCGAGCCUGACCCUCUCUCUCCCAAUAAUUUAUGCUGCCCUGGGUCCCACUUUACACUUCAUUGUGUUGGUAUUUGGGAGACAUGCUGCCAUGGUUGACAGCAGGAAUCCUGAGGCCCUGUGACCCACUUCCUUCCCUUAGCUGCAUCAGCUUGGGCAGAUCACUCACUUUGUUCAGUUUCUUCAUCUGGAAAAUAACAUGAGAAUAGGGAUAUGACUCAUAGGACUGAUGUGAGGAUUAGAUGAGAUAGUACACAUAAAACAUUUCAGCCCAGUGCCUGGCAUAAUGAGUAUUAUAUUCAGUGAUGUUAUUGUUAUUUUAAUAAUCAUUUUUGCUAGACUUCCAUAUAAGAUUUUCUGGUUCAGAGUGAACAGCUGGUACUCAGUGAGGUAGGUGAUGAUGAAACUGAGAGUCAGAGAGCUUAAGUAACUUAUCCCAUGUGGCACAAUACAUACAUGAUAGAACUAGCCAUCAGUCUCUGUCCUGACUCUUGUUCAUAUUAUUCCAUCACCCAGACCUCACAAAUAGUGUUAACCUGAUGGCAGGGGCAUAGGUGUUGGUUUGGGUUGUUAUAUGCCUCUUAUCAUCCUUGGGCAUGUUUAUCUAAAUGAUGCAAUAACCAUUCCAUUUUGGCCACAUGUGGCUUUGGGCAGGGAUACAGAUCAUCCUUUUUAUAACCCAAUGUUCUGCAUGAUCUAGGUGUUCAAUUAGUGUUGUUACCGGUGACAGUAACGGAUUAGAAGGCUUGUCUGAUUUACUUUGUGAUUCUUGAUUAAAUUUGGGUAACUUAAAAAAGAAGCCAUAAUGAAUGGAUGCCUUGUUCCUUUAAAUCAUUCUGAGUCUUCGGGCCAUUGCAACAUAGAAAAGAUUUAAUUUUAGAGAAUUAGGUUGCUGAAGCAAUCUAACUUCCUUCUCUUGAGAGCAGUGUGUGUGGAUGGCCUGGUGUAUUGGUCCCGCUGGUGGUCUGUGUGGUGUGCAUAUGGAAAGUGGAGCUGUGUGAACCCAUGCCUACGGGGCGUACGGGCUUGUGAAUGUCUGGGUGUGCUCACAAUCAUGUGGAGGCUGACGAAGAAUUACUCUUGGUAAGGUUUACUUGGCUAGUUAGAAUUUAGUAUAUGCCAGUAGUAGGUGAAAAAAAAUUGAGGGGGACCUAUUAUAGAUAUAAAGAAACCUAGCAACAAAAUAUAGUUUGUGGUUAAAUUUGGAUCCCUUGUUGAACAAACCAGUUAUAAAAAAAUGUUAUUGAGACAGUUGGGGAGAACUGAAUUUGGACUGGGUAUUAGAUUAUGUUAAGAAUUAUUAUUAAUUUUGUUGGAUAUAAUAGUGGUGUCACAGUUUUGUUCAAAGGAGAAGGGUCAUAUCAAACAGAAACAAAUAUUUAUGGAUGAAAUGAUUAGAUGUGUGAGGUCUGUUUUCAAAUACUGCAACAAACAAAAAACAAGCAAAGAGUUGGGAAGAAGGAUAACGGGAAAAAUAGUAGAAUAUCGAUUUUCAAGCUGAUUGUUGGGUAUAAGGGGGUUUAUUAUACUGUUUUAUUUUUGCAUACAUUUGAAAGUUUCCAUAAUAUAAGGUUUUUAAAAAGUUUUCCAUAAUACAAUACAAAGUUUUAAAAUCUGCACAGAGAGUUGGAAACCUGGAUUGCAAUUCUGAAACUGGCUGCAAUUAUUAUUGGAUGCAUUCAGCUUCAAAAGACAGACUUAUAGAAUAUGUUAGUAUUAGGGGAACACUAUUUCUUUUCAAAUGUUUAGUUUUUAAGAGCUGCUACCUGUGAAAAAAGUUGGAAGUAGAUGUGAACAAAUGAUAUUGGACCUUUUGGUGAGAAAAGUCAGAGGAAUAAAGAUAGACUCUUUCAAUCUUAGUGCUGGAAGGAGCAGUAUAUGUUCGAGCUGGAAUAAAAGACAUCUUCCAGAGCAAAAAGAGUUGCAUUGCAUCUGCCCACUUUGUUCCAGGUUAUGAGAAAGUUCUGCUUAAGGACCACAAUCAAGCUGCAUGCCCCCAAAGCAGAGAAACUAUACUAAUUUGAGCCUGAAACCAAACCACUGAACUUUUUUUCUCCUGUAAACUUGAAUCAAGAUAGUUAAUUAAAAAAAGAAAGAAAGAAAGAAAAAAAGACCUCCCAUUAAGUGAAAUA